Molecule: long non-coding RNA, 534 nt
Organism: Hyla sarda
Lineage: Eukaryota; Metazoa; Chordata; Amphibia; Anura; Hylidae
Exons: 3
Source: RefSeq, a predicted model, not a curated record
UAUUCUAUCCAGUUUGCGUUUAGUUGGACCAUCAUUUAUUUUUCAUCAGGACAAUGACCCCAAACACCUCCAGGCUGUGUAAGGGCUAUUUGACCAAGAAGGAGAGUGAUGGGGCGCUGCACCAGAUGACCUGGCCUCCACAGUCACCGGACCUGAACCCAAUCGAGAUGGUUUGGGGUUGUGCUGGACCGCAGAGUGAAAGCAAAAGGGCCAACAAGUGCUAAGCAUCUCUCGGAACUCCUUCACGACUGUUGGAAGACCAUUUCAGAUUCUACAGAUGUCUUUCUAGGAGCUUCUAGAAACCAUUUAUGUUGCUACUGUUAGUAUCACACAUAUCACUUUUAGCAGCAAUGUCAUAUUGUCGCCGUAGUCAGCCUCAUACCCCUGUGUCUUCCACACCUGCUCCCCUGCACGCUGUACCCCGCAUGUUCACGUGAACAAUAAAGAAGCUAUCACAAGCAAGUCUGGCAUCUUCCCUGCUUUGCAUGUGAUCCCAGACUUCAACGGAGGCCUGCUGGGGUUGGAGAAACGGAA